This 587-nucleotide ribosomal RNA is filed under the name uncultured bacterium. RNAcentral's name for it is "bacterial SSU rRNA". It matches the Rfam family "Bacterial small subunit ribosomal RNA", at positions 337 to 916 of the family's 1533-position model. The record is from RNAcentral.
UCCUACGGGAGGCAGCAGUGGGGAAUAUUGGACAAUGGGGGCAACCCUGAUCCAGCCAUGCCGCGUGUGUGAAGAAGGCCCUCGGGUUGUAAAGCACUUUCAGCGAGGAAGAACGCCUAGCGGUUAAUACCCGCUAGGAUAGACAUCACUCGCAGAAGAAGCACCGGCUAACUCCGUGCCAGCAGCCGCGGUAAUACGGAGGGUGCAAGCGUUAAUCGGAAUUACUGGGCGUAAAGCGCGCGUAGGUGGCUUGAUAAGCCGGUUGUGAAAGCCCCGGGCUCAACCUGGGAACGGCAUCCGGAACUGUCAAGCUAGAGUGCAGGAGAGGAAGGUAGAAUUCCCGGUGUAGCGGUGAAAUGCGUAGAGAUCGGGAGGAAUACCAGUGGCGAAGGCGGCCUUCUGGACUGACACUGACACUGAGGUGCGAAAGCGUGGGUAGCAAACAGGAUUAGAUACCCUGGUAGUCCACGCCGUAAACGAUGUCGACCAGCCGUUGGGUGCCUAGCGCACUUUGUGGCGAAGUUAACGCGAUAAGUCGACCGCCUGGGGAGUACGGCCGCAAGGUUAAAACUCAAAUGAAUUGACGG